RNAcentral lists this ribosomal RNA (425 nucleotides) under uncultured bacterium. Its description in RNAcentral is "bacterial SSU rRNA". It matches the Rfam family "Bacterial small subunit ribosomal RNA", at positions 354 to 796 of the family's 1533-position model. The record is from RNAcentral.
GUGGGGAAUCUUAGACAAUGGGGGCAACCCUGAUCUAGCCAUGCCGCGUGAGUGAUGAAGGCCUUAGGGUUGUAAAGCUCUUUCAGUGGGGAAGAUAAUGACGGUACCCACAGAAGAAGCCCCGGCUAACUCCGUGCCAGCAGCCGCGGUAAUACGGAGGGGGCUAGCGUUGUUCGGAAUUACUGGGCGUAAAGCGCACGUAGGCGGAUCGGAAAGUUGGGGGUGAAAUCCCAGGGCUCAACCCUGGAACUGCCUUCAAAACUAUCGGUCUGGAGUCCGAGAGAGGUGAGUGGAAAUCCGAGUGUAGAGGUGAAAUUCGUAGAUAUUCGGAGGAACACCAGUGGCGAAGGCGGCUCACUGGCUCGGUACUGACGCUGAGGUGCGAAAGCGUGGGGAGCAAACAGGAUUAGAAACCCGUGUAGUCC